AACCACAUGGUGGCUCAUAACCAUCUGUAAUGGGAUCUGAUGCCCUCUUCUGGUGUGUCUGCAAACAGAUACUCAUGUAUAUUAAAUAAAUAAUAAAUAAAUUGAAAGAAAGAAAGAAAGAAAGAAAGAAAGAAAGAAAGAAAGAAAGAAAGAAAGAAAGAGGACGAAAGAAAGAAAAUGACUGACAGUCAGGUCUUAUGGAAGCCUUUUCUCAGUUGAGGGUCCCCUCCUUUCAGAUAACUCUAACUUAUAUCAAGUUGACAACAUAAAACUAGCCAGCACACAUCCCCAUCUCAAAGAUGUAAAUCCUUCCGCUGGGUCCCAUUUCUUGAAGUUUGUCCUAUGUCCCAACAGUGCUCCAGGCUAGGACCUCAUGGGGACAUUUAUGCAAACUGGUUCACCCACCAUGAACAAGUCACCAGGCUGUACCUAAGGGCCUUGCCACAUUAGGAAGGCUUCUGUGUCAUGUGUAGGCACAUUGUGUUCCCCCUAUGACCAGGGCUCUGGAUAGUGUAACUAAGAAAUACUGUGAUUCCCAUGUACCUGUGAGUACAAGAGUUCCAGAGACUGGAAGGAGAAUAGAAAGUAAAGGGAGGGCCUUAGACUGGUUCAGAAUUGCUGACCAUAGAGAUUGGCCAGGAGGAACAGAAGCCUGGAGGUUGAAAAGUUUCCAAGACAAAUCCUAGCUCAGGGAAAGCCAGCAUCUGCUCAGUGGCUUCACAGACCCAGAAGAAUGAGGCUGUUAUUUCUGUCAAGUCCCACAGGUGUUCUUUUUAAGGUGACCUCGCUACACUUAGAAAAGUAUAAUAUCUUUUUGGUUUAUGAUGAAAACAGGAACAUUCCGCUUACAUGGUCGCUGUCCAAUAUCAAGACACGGUUUGUAUAAAGCAUGUAGAAUCAGAAAUGUGACUUACAUUUAUAGAUUCUCAGAUUUAAAUUACUCAGAGGAACUCUGAGAGAUGGCUGGGCCUUUAGAACACUUGUUGCUCUUCCAGAUGACCUGAGUUCAAUUCCCAGCACCCACAUGGCUCCUCACAAUCUGUAACUCCAUUUCCAAGAGUCUUAGUCAGGGUUUCUAUUCCUGCACAAAACAUCAUGACUAAGAAGAAGUUGGGGAGGAAAGGGUUUACUUAUUCAGCUUGCAUUUCCACAUUGCUGUUCAUCACCAAAGGAAGUCAGGACAGGAACUCACACAGGGUAGGAACCUGGAGGCAGCAGCUGAUGCAGAGGCCAUGAAGGGGUGUUAUUUACUGGCUUGCUUCCCCUUGCUGUCUCAGCUUGCUUUCUUAUAGAACCUAAGACUACCAGCCCAGGGAUGACACCACCCACAAUGGGCCCUCCUUCCCUUGAUUGCUAAUUGAGAAAAUGCCUUACAGCUGGAUCUCAUGGAGGCAUUUUCUCAAGGGAGGCUCUCUGUGAUAACUCCAGCCUGUGUCAAAUUGUCACACAGAAACAGCCAGUAAACCAAGGGACCCUCUUCUGGCUUUCUUGGGCACCAGCACACAUGUGGUGCACAGACAUACCUGCAGGCCAAACACAUAAAAUUUCUCACAAAGCUCUGACAAUCACGUGCUAGGUUGUGUUUGUAAAGAAGACACACCAUUCUUUCUGUUUAGUUCAGAGAAUGACAAUUGCCCUGCAAAUCCUUUGCCACAACCUGUAAGAAGGAACUCUCUCUGCAGGGUGGUGCGUAUGACACUCACAUGAAAGCCAGGCUGACAGGUCUCAGUGGUCAGGUUGCUGGAAUGCACUGGAAUUCUAAGGAAGCCAAUGGGUGCUCUGUCAGCUGUGUAGAACACUUGGGAGGCAGAGACAGGCAGAUCUCUAUGAGUUCAAGGACAGCCUGGUCUACAGAGUGAGUUCCAGGACAGCCAGAGCUACAGAGUAAGACCCUGUCAAAC
Molecule: long non-coding RNA, 1901 nt
Filed under: Mus musculus (house mouse)
Lineage: Eukaryota; Metazoa; Chordata; Mammalia; Rodentia; Muridae
Description: long non-coding RNA chr17:70702910-70704811
Source: RNAcentral